This 253-nucleotide ribosomal RNA is filed under the name uncultured bacterium. Its description in RNAcentral is "partial 16S ribosomal RNA". It matches the Rfam family "Bacterial small subunit ribosomal RNA", at positions 524 to 776 of the family's 1533-position model. The record is from RNAcentral.
UACGUAGGGUGCGAGCGUUAAUCGGAAUUACUGGGCGUAAAGCGUGCGCAGGCGGUUUUGUAAGCCAGAUGUGAAAUCCCCGGGCUUAACCUGGGAAUGGCAUUUGGGACUGCAAGGCUCGAGUGCGGCAGAGGAGACUGGAAUUCCUGGUGUAGCAGUGAAAUGCGUAGAUAUCAGGAGGAACACCGAUGGCGAAGGCAGCCUUCUGGGCCAACACUGACGCUCAUGCACGAAAGCGUGGGGAGCAAACAGG